Anolis carolinensis (green anole) is the source of this 1676-nucleotide long non-coding RNA. The record is from Ensembl. NCBI's taxonomy places the organism in Eukaryota, Metazoa, Chordata, Lepidosauria, Squamata, Anolidae.
AUGUGGCAGCAACAAAUCAAACAUCACCCCUUUACAAAUGUCUUCUUUUGCACCCAGGUAUCAAUGGCUGUAAUCAUAGGUGUGCUCACCCUAUACAUAUCAAUCCUUUCCAUGGCUCCCACAUGCAAGCUCCACAUUGGCAGAAUUAUGAAGAGGAUGGAAGAAACAUUAGCCUAUCGGACAGCAUCCAGCAUCUCAAUCACCUCAUCGAUCACCAGCCAAUCGUCACUGCAACGUAUGGCUCCUGAAGGGAUCCGAGGCAGUUUGGCCCAACCAUCCUCCAAAGCAAAUGCACCGAAAGCCUCAGUGACGCACCCAGGGACUCAGUAAUACCAGCCAGUUAAUUUCCUGCACUCUUCUGCAUGUGAUGCAGAGGAUUUCUGGAAUGAACCAAGUGACUGUCAGCAUUGUGCAAUUUGGUGACUGUUGGAUCCAUUGGGGAAACAUAGGGUACUUUGGGAAAUGCCACAGCCUCCUUGAAAGUAAUCCCCAAGAGUUUGCCUAUGGAUUCUUGUGCUGCUUAAAACCAUCUUUGAGCAGGUCACAGGAGGCAUGCAGAGGAGUCAUAGGAAGUGUUCCAGAAGCCAUUGGUUCCCUGUAAAAUUAUUGACUAUCUAGGGCAGGCAUGGGCAAACCCUGGUCCUCCAGGUGUUUUGGACUUCCACUCCCACAAUUCCUAAUAGCCAAAACACCUAGAGGCCCAAGUUUGCCCAUGCCUGAUCUAGGAGGUAACCUAUAAAAUCCACUGUUUUUAAACCACAGUCAGAAAUGAAAACUGCAUCUUUCUCUUUCUGUUCCAUUUACUGGUCCACUCACACUUGUGUGACUCAUCGAUAGUAAAGUAGUACAUGCAUUUCCUUUUCUUGCCUUGAUAUUUUUACACACUAUGUCCUGACACAGAAUUAUUCCAGACAGGACUGAAUGGGUAAGGUUAAUUUUUUUUAAAAAAAAUGUUACAUAUACCUCAUUAUGUGUCUGGUCCUGCAUAUCCUAUUACUGAGCUGGUUUGAGGUUUCAAACAUGCCUUUGUGUACACUGUUUAUGGCCAAAAAGAAGAAGAAAAAACUUUAUAUCUUCUUCCCAGCAAGUUUGCAAAGGUUUCUUGUUAAGAAUGCAUUUUUCUUUUUAAUUAUAUUCUUUUUAACCAUAUAUGUUCCUUUAAUUUUGUUUCUAAGUUUUAUUUAUUUAUUUAUUUAUUUAUUUAUUUAUUUUGCCUAGUAUUUGAGUCUAAUUCAAUAAAGCCUUCAGUUAUUGUGGAAUUCGUUUUGGGAAAGAGUAUCUCUAGUAACAGACUGGUUCAAAAUUGGAAAAGGAGUAUGGCAGGAUUGUAUACUCUCACCCUACCUAUUCAACUUGUAUGCAGAACACAUGAUGAAUCCAAAGCUGGAGUUAAAAUUGCUGGAAGAAACAUCAACAACCUUGGAUAUGCAAAUGAUACCACUUUAUUGAUUUAUUUAUUUACUAUACUUUUACCCCACCCUUCUCACCCCGGAGGGGACUCAGGGCAGCUUACAACAUGUAGUCCGAGUUAAACGGGCGGACCUCAGCUCGGUCAACCCGGAUCACUCGGAUUACCAGGUUUCCUCUCCCUUUGGCGGCCGCUUGGACCCAGGAAAGAGCGAAGUGUGCCGCUUCCCUGGGUCCAAGCGGCUGCCUAAGGGAUAUCAGAAGACAUU